Molecule: long non-coding RNA, 3850 nt
Filed under: Salmo salar (Atlantic salmon)
Lineage: Eukaryota; Metazoa; Chordata; Actinopteri; Salmoniformes; Salmonidae
Description: lncRNA (ENSSSAG00000118960.1)
Source: RNAcentral
CAUAACAAUAACGAGGCUUUAUACAGAGGGUACCGGUACCGAGUCAAUAUGCUGGGGUACAGGUUAGUCAAGGUAAUCUAGAUACCAUCUGUGGUCACCUUCGCCAUAACCUCGAGAGAGGACAGACCAGAUCAACAGUUUAGUUAAGGGCAUUUCCGAUUCAGGAAAUCCAGACAAAUUAUUUACUGUAUGACAAAUUAUUACUACUACCAAUAUUCUUUAUACGGAUUUCUAAAACAAAUCUCAAAGAGAAUAAGAAUACACAGUUUAAACCAUUUUCCACCAAAUUGGCUUAUACUUCUCUAUCAUCUUGGCGAUCUCACUGCAAAGUUACAGGGUCAGGGAGUUAGAGGGCCAAUCCUUAGAGAGACAUCCCGACCAUACAGCAGACCCAAUUUGAUGAGAUUUGUUAUGGAAGCAAGACAGCAACAAACAAACAACAACAACAGCAAUACACUUCUUCAUAUAAAAGUAGAGGCGGGGGAAAACAAUACACAUAUCACUCGAGAUGGGAAAAACUUAAAUCCAUUUAGAAUAACUGUCAACCAUUACCAACAUAGCUUUUUCCCUUUUUCAGGCAGGCGUGUGAAGAAAAUCUAUUUGCAUAUUUAUCAAAAGGCCCCAGGAGACCAGAAAUUGAAACAACAACACUGCCUGUUCAAUCAAAAUUAAAUGAAUUAGAAUAACAAAUCAAAUUAGAAUUACAACUUUUCAUAACUCCAUAAGGAAAUAAUUGUUUCCCACAAGGUAAUGGUAAAAUAGACUAGAAACAGGUAUCCCUCAUUCAGGGGCAACGCGCUCUCUCGCCUUCUCGUGUCUGAAUCACACAUAGGACUAUUGCUAAAUUAUAAACUUCUUCCUAAUUAUUAGUGUUUACAUAACCCAUUUAAAUCUCACCCAAUGUCUCCAGUCUUUCUAGUGAGAAUGAUCAGAACAAAGGUCAUUCAACCCCAUUAAGUGUUUUCUUUCCCUUUUUUUCCUGUAGUUAAGAAAUGAUUUAAAAACAUUUCCAUCAUUCUGCGUACCCAGUUUACAACCAAAUUAAAAAAGACCCCACACAAUAAAUCUAACAAAUAUUCAUAACCGGUGGGUUGUGUGUGCGUGCUGGUGUUUGUGGUAAAACAUAGGGCAAAAACAAACAAAGAGAAUGGCCAGGCCUAACUUAUCUCGGAGCUCCCUCUACAGCCGGAUCCAUACACAUUUAUACUUUAUAAAACAGCAGAAUUUCACUAACUGCUCUUCCAAGGCAACAACCCCCGAAACAUUUGAAAGGGAGAGAAAAUAAACAUUUAGUUAGUUUUCACUUUGCUAAAUCUUAAUCAGUCCAAGCAAUUCAAAUUAUUUCCUAUUAACUGACUUUACCAGGUGAACAAAAUGUUUUAAAUUACAGUCAAAACAAACAUGAUAACUUCUGUUCACAGGGAGGCAACUAUCCUCCCUUCACUCAUUAACCGUCUUUGUCUUCUUGUGACUCCCCUUCCUUUCAUCAAUUCUAUACAUCUAUUCAGAAUAAGACAAAAUAAAAUGUCUCACCAGACUAAAACCCCUACGGUGUUCCUGCAUUGUUCCUACUCGAAACCCCCAAAUAUGUUAUCUCUGUCACGCCUGUUCCCGCUCCCCCUCUCUGGCGCUCAAUGGGGCCAGGCUGCCCAUCAUUACGCACACUUGUCACCAUCAUUACGCGCAUCUGUGCAAUAUUGGACUCACCUGGACUCCAUUACCUUGUUGAUUGCCCCUCUAUAUCUGUCUGUUCCUCAGUUUGUUCCCCGUGUCAGCAUUGAUGUCAUUAUAUUUUUCCCCUGUCCAGACGCUGUCCUUGUUUGUUUCUUGUCUGUUAUCCAUUAAAUGUUCACUCCCUGUACUUGCUUCUCGUCUCCCAGCAUCUGUCCUUACAAUCUCUUGCUUCACUUGUUGUACUUUCCCAUAUGAUGCUUUGUGAUCCUGCUCUGUCAAAUAGUUUACUAAUGUGGAGAUGUCUGGCAUAUGAGUUUCUUUGUCUUUUUACGCCAAUAACAAAUGUGCUACAUACUCUACCAACACAGAACCCUCAAAUUUACAUCCUUAGCGAUUGUUUCAACGCGGCGUGAUACAAUGUUGGACUAUUUGUAAACAUUGUUCGUGCUCUCGCCCAUAUAUACUGCCAAUUUUAAUAUGUUACCUUUUAGAAUCCACUGUCUUUAAUUCUCGCAAGGAUUAUACAACCCCAAAAUAAUUUCCACACCCAUGUGUGGAACUCGUUCGUAAAUUCAACGGUUAUUCUGUGUUCUGGCACAUUCAGACGAGAGUGCUCUGAAAUCGGAGCAGAUAGCCAGAGCGAAUUUACGAAACACCCAAAUUACAGCUAUACCAUUUAGCUAAGCUAAGAAUGACGUGAACAAUCAAGUCAAUAACCGUUGGGUAGUUAGAUAGCGUAUAGUUAAUAUACUAGCUAGUUUGAUGUAUUAGUAGCCAACUAACGUUAGGUAGCUAGCUAACAUAUAUUACUGGUUCAUACUGCUGUAAUGAUAUGCUAUGCGGUUCAUAAGGAUAGCAUAACUAACCAAUUGUCAGCCAACAUAACGUAACUUAUUUGAAAAGUUAUUAAUUUAUAACAUUGCUCAACAUUUCCUUAACAUUUGUCAUAAUUAAUUAAAUCAUUGAAUUUGUAUCUUCAGACCAAUAUGCACACUACAUACUCAAUUUAAUUCACAAAUAGUGCAGUUAUACUGAGUACAUAUACUAAUCUUGGUUUUAUUGGUUUUUCUUUUUUUGUUGAUAGAACGCUAACAUCAAAAUGCUGGUGUAUUGAGCUUCUGAUUUUCCUUUUAUAUAAUUGUACCAAUUCACAAUAGCAUCUCUGAAUACUUUAUUAGAUUGGAAUUUUCCAUCAGCAGGGAAAUGCUGCUCAAUUUUAUCCAUGAUUAGAUUUUUUUCCCAUAUUCGAGCCGAAUUGGUAGAAUGCUCUUGCGCUUCUUUUAGUGACUCUGUGGCUUUGCUAUAGUUUACCUCUUCUACAAUAGUUAUUUCUGCGCCUCUCUCAAUGGUGUCCAGAGUUUCAGAUUUCCUCACUCAUGGUUUUAAUAUAAGCCAAUGUUAACAAUUUUCCAAGGUAGUGAUACCCACUUACCCGGAGAGUAGUUAUGGUAUUUCUGCCUUUUAAUAGAACCAAUACUGAAGCGUCUGCCAAUUUACUACUUGAGAAUAUUGGAGACCUAAUGUCUUAUACCAGUAUCAUGCUUCACAUAUCACUAUUGUUGACAACACAUAUUACCAAAAUUAGGGUCCAUCGUCUGUACAUAAUAUAAAUAUUUUGUCAAUACACACACACUCAGGAAACAAAAACAAACACACAAAACAAAACAAACAGUAUUUGGUUAGGAACAUCUUCCUUUCUUAUAAUUUAAAAAUAGUAAUUUCUUCUUCAUCAAAAUAUUUUUUCAUUACUCAAUGUAAUUUUAAAUGUUGUACCCACAUGGUAGUUCCUAUGCACAUUUCCGUGUAGGAUUUAAAUUUAUAGCUGGUUUCCCAAAUAUAACCAACUGUUUUACCAGUACACUGACUAAUUCAUUGUUUUUUACAAUGUUUUUCUAACCUGCAGGAAUCAUUUUUAAUUCUUCAGGACCAAGUCCUGGAACACUUUCAACAGGACCUUGUCCUGUUAUCUCUUAAUAUAGCUCAUGCAUCUACAUCUUACGAUCGUAACCUAUGGAAUAUUACUUCAGGCCUUUUGUCCUGGUAUCUCUAUAAUACCUCUGGAUCUUAUUCUUGAAUUGCUUUCAUCAGGACUUGUCCUGGUAUCUCUAACACGCAUGACCUGUUCCUAGAACAGGAUUUUUUUAAAGUUAACUUUCACCAAUUCAAGGUUGUAUUU